Molecule: ribosomal RNA, 538 nt
Filed under: Colletotrichum sp. C6
Lineage: Eukaryota; Fungi; Ascomycota; Sordariomycetes; Glomerellales; Glomerellaceae
Description: eukaryotic LSU rRNA
Rfam family: 5.8S ribosomal RNA (bases 186-339)
Source: RNAcentral
AGGGAUCAUUACUGAGUUUACGCUCUACAACCCUUUGUGAACAUACCUACAACUGUUGCUUCGGCGGGUAGGGUCCCCGUGACCCUCCCGGCCUCCCGCCCCCCCGGGCGGGUCGGCGCCCGCCGGAGGAUAACCAAACUCUGAUUUAACGACGUUUCUUCUGAGUGGUACAAGCAAAUAAUCAAAACUUUUAACAACGGAUCUCUUGGUUCUGGCAUCGAUGAAGAACGCAGCGAAAUGCGAUAAGUAAUGUGAAUUGCAGAAUUCAGUGAAUCAUCGAAUCUUUGAACGCACAUUGCGCCCGCCAGCAUUCUGGCGGGCAUGCCUGUUCGAGCGUCAUUUCAACCCUCAAGCUCUGCUUGGUGUUGGGGCCCUACAGCUGAUGUAGGCCCUCAAAGGUAGUGGCGGACCCUCCCGGAGCCUCCUUUGCGUAGUAACUUUACGUCUCGCACUGGGAUCCGGAGGGACUCUUGCCGUAAAACCCCCCAAUUUUCCAAAGGUUGACCUCGGAUCAGGUAGGAACACCCGCUGAACUUAA